RNAcentral lists this ribosomal RNA (451 nucleotides) under uncultured bacterium. Its description in RNAcentral is "partial 16S ribosomal RNA". It matches the Rfam family "Bacterial small subunit ribosomal RNA", at positions 29 to 523 of the family's 1533-position model. The record is from RNAcentral.
AGCGAACGCUGGCGGCAGGCUUAACACAUGCAAGUCGAGCGGCCGUAGCAAUACGGCAGCGGCAGACGGGAGAGUAACACGUGGGAACGUACCCUUCAGUACGGAACAACCAAGGGAAACUUUGGCUAAUACCGUAUACGUCCGUAAGGAGAAAGAUUUAUCGCUGAAGGAUCGGCCCGCGUCUGAUUAGCUAGUUGGUGAGGUAACGGCUCGCCAAGGCGACGAUCAGUAGCUGGUCUGAGAGGAUGAUCAGCCUCACUGGGACUGAGACACGGCCCAGACUCCUACGGGAGGCAGCAGUGGGGAGUAUUGGACAAUGGGCGCAAGCCUGAUCCAGCCAUGCCGCGUGGAUGAUGAAGGCCCUAGGGUUGUAAAGUCCUUUUAACGGGGAAGAUAAUGACGGUACCCGUAGAAUAAGCCCCGGCUAACUUCGUGCCAGCAGCCGCAGUAA